UACGUAGGGGGCAAGCGUUGUCCGGAUUUAUUGGGCGUAAAGCGCACGCAGGUGGCUGAGUCAGUCGAUUGUGAAAGCCCUGGGCUUAACCUGGGAAUUGCAGUCGAUACUACUCAGCUAGAGUAUGGGAGAGGGCAGUGGAAUUCCCGGUGUAGCGGUGAAAUGCGCAGAUAUCAGGAGGAACACCAGUGGCGAAGGCGGUUGCCUGGAGCUUUGCUGACGCUGAGGCGCGAAAGCGUGGGGAGCGAUCCGG
RNAcentral lists this ribosomal RNA (253 nucleotides) under uncultured bacterium. RNAcentral describes it as "partial 16S ribosomal RNA". It matches the Rfam family "Bacterial small subunit ribosomal RNA", at positions 524 to 776 of the family's 1533-position model. The record is from RNAcentral.